CCUACGGGUGGCUGCAGUGGGGGAUAUUGCACAAUGGGGGGAACCCUGAUGCAGCGACGCCGCGUGGGUGAAGGAGCGUUUCGGCGCGUAAAGCCCUAUCGGCAGGGAAGAAGAAGGACGGUACCUGAGUAAGAAGCCCCGGCUAACUACGUGCCAGCAGCCGCGGUAAUACGUAGGGGGAAAGCGUUAUCCGGAUUUACUGGGUGGAAAGGGAGCGUAGACGGCGAUGCAAGCCAGAUGUGAAAGCACGCGGCUCAACUGCGGUAGUGCAUUUGGAACUGUAUGGCUGGAGUGCAGGAGAGGCAGGCGGAAUUCCUAGUGUAGCGGUGAAAUGCGUAGAUAUUAGGAGGAACACCAGUGGCGAAGGCGGCCUGCUGGACUGUAACUGACGUUGAGGCUCGAAAGCGUGGGGAGCAAACAGGAUUAGAUACCCGUGUAGUC
Molecule: ribosomal RNA, 441 nt
Filed under: uncultured bacterium
Lineage: Bacteria
Description: partial 16S ribosomal RNA
Rfam family: Bacterial small subunit ribosomal RNA
Source: RNAcentral